CGGUGGAUGCCUUGGCGACAAGAGGCGAUGAAGGACGUGAUACGCUGCGAUAAGCGUCGGGGAGCUGCGAAUAAGCUUUGAUCCGGCGAUUUCCGAAUGGGGCAACCCACUCCGUAUGGAGUACCCGCAAGGGAGCAAACCCGGGGAACUGAAACAUCUAAGUACCCGGAGGAAAGGAAAUCAACAGAUACUCCGCUAGUAGUGGCGAGCGAACGCGGACCAGCCGAGCCAUGAGAAUGACCAGAAUGAUCUGGAAAGAUCAGCCAGAGCGGGUGACAGCCCCGUAUGGGAAGUUCAAUUGGACGUAUUAAGUAGGGCGGGACACGUGUAAUCCUGUCUGAAGAUCGGGGGACCACCCUCGAAGGCUAAGUACUCCUUACUGACCGAUAGCGAACCAGUACCGUGAGGGAAAGGUGAAAAGCACCCCGACGAGGGGAGUGAAACAGUUUCUGAAACCGGACGCCUACAAGCAGUCGGAGGAGCCUUGAGCUCUGACGGCGUACCUUUUGUAUAAUGGGUCAACGACUUGGUCUAUCGAGCAAGCUUAAGCCGUUAGGUGUAGGCGUAGCGAAAGCGAGUCUUAACAGGGCGAAUAAGUUCGAUGGAUCAGACCCGAAACCAGAUGAUCUAGCCAUGUGCAGGCUGAAGGUGAGGUAACACUCACUGGAGGGCCGAACCGACACCCGUUGAAAAGGGUCCGGAUGACGUGUGGCUAGGGGUGAAAGGCCAAUCAAAUCUGGAGAUAGCUGGUUCUCCGCGAAAGCUAUUUAGGUAGCGCGUCGAUUGUAUUCUCCCGGGGGUAGAGCACUGCAUGGAUGAUGGGGGCCCACAGCCUUACUGAGUCUAAGCAAACUCCGAAUACCGGGAAGAACUGAUCGGCAGACACACGGCGGGUGCUAACGUCCGUCGUGGAGAGGGAAACAACCCUGACCAACAGCUAAGGCCCCCAAUUCAUGGCUAAGUGGGAAAGCAUGUGAGACUUCCAAAACAACCAGGAGGUUGGCUUAGAAGCAGCCAUCCUUUAAAGAUAGCGUAACAGCUCACUGGUCUAGUCAAGAGGUCUUGCGGCGAAGAUGUAACGGGGCUCAAGCCAUGAGCCGAAGCUUUGGAUGCACAGUGAUGUGCGUGGUAGCGGAGCGUUCU
RNAcentral lists this ribosomal RNA (1143 nucleotides) under uncultured Mamiellales. Its description in RNAcentral is "partial Bacterial large subunit ribosomal RNA". It matches the Rfam family "Bacterial large subunit ribosomal RNA", at positions 22 to 1242 of the family's 2925-position model. The record is from RNAcentral. Lineage: Eukaryota; Viridiplantae; Chlorophyta; Mamiellophyceae; Mamiellales.